UCCCUCUUAGCUCAGUUGGUAGAGCGCGUCACUAGUAAAAAGUAAUGACGAGGUCAGUCGUUCAAAUCGGCUAGCGGGAA
Non-coding RNA from Mycena albidolilacea, 80 nucleotides. Lineage: Eukaryota; Fungi; Basidiomycota; Agaricomycetes; Agaricales; Mycenaceae. The record is from the annotation of a GenBank genome assembly.